UCUUAUUGAAAAUAAUUUUAAGUCUAAUCUGCCCAAUGAAAAUUUUAAUGGCUGCAGUAUCAAUAACUGUACAAAGGUAGCAUAAUAAUUAGUUUUUUAAUUGAAACCUAGAAUGAAAGAUUAAAUGAAAUAUAAACUUUAUUAAUAAAAUUAAAAUUAAACUUAAAUUUUAAGUUAAAAUUCUUAAAUAUUAUUAAAAGACGAGAAGACCCUUUAGAAUUUUAUAUAAAUUAAAAUUAAAAUUAUAAAUAUUAAUAAUAUAAAUUUUAAUUAAUAUUUAAUUGGGGUAAUUUUUUAAUUUUAUAAACUUUAAAAUAAUAAAACAUUAAUUAAUGAACUUAUAAACCUAAAAUUUAGAAUUUUAAAAUAAAUUACC
Molecule: ribosomal RNA, 376 nt
Filed under: Lysiphlebus fabarum
Lineage: Eukaryota; Metazoa; Arthropoda; Insecta; Hymenoptera; Braconidae
Description: partial 16S ribosomal RNA
Source: RNAcentral